GAUGAACGCUAGCGACAGGCUUAACACAUGCAAGUCGAGGGGCAGCACAGGUAGCAAUACCGGGUGGCGACCGGCGCACGGGUGAGUAACGCGUAUGCAACUUACCUAUCAGAGGGGGAUAACCCGGCGAAAGUCGGACUAAUACCGCAUGAAGCAGGGGUCCCGCAUGGGGAUAUUUGCUAAAGAUUCAUCGCUGAUAGAUAGGCAUGCGUUCCAUUAGGCAGUUGGCGGGGUAACGGCCCACCAAACCGACGAUGGAUAGGGGUUCUGAGAGGAAGGUCCCCCACAUUGGUACUGAGACACGGACCAAACUCCUACGGGAGGCAGCAGUGAGGAAUAUUGGUCAAUGGCCGAGAGGCUGAACCAGCCAAGUCGCGUGAGGGAUGAAGGUUCUAUGGAUCGUAAACCUCUUUUAUAAGGGAAUAAAGUGCGGGACCUGUCCCGUUUUGUAUGUACCUUAUGAAUAAGGAUCGGCUAACUCCGUG
Molecule: ribosomal RNA, 485 nt
Filed under: uncultured bacterium
Lineage: Bacteria
Description: partial 16S ribosomal RNA
Rfam family: Bacterial small subunit ribosomal RNA
Source: RNAcentral